Molecule: long non-coding RNA, 2341 nt
Organism: Anopheles coluzzii
Lineage: Eukaryota; Metazoa; Arthropoda; Insecta; Diptera; Culicidae
Exons: 3
Source: RefSeq, a predicted model, not a curated record
CAAGCGAUUUUACCCCCUCCUACACGCAUUGUAUCCUACAGCACGCUUGACGCGGCAACGUUCACCACAUACACACACACACAUCUCCACACUCAGGGUACGACAUCUUCCCUGUUGCUGUUCUGGACUCAGACAAAAUUUGUGUUUCUACACUUAUUGUUCAAAAAAGUAGUAGCUCUUAGGAUCUGAAUUUACAAACAAAUAUCAAAAUAUUAUCUUCUGCUAAUGAUAUUGCACUGAAUUUAAUUGCACUACAUUAAGUUUUUACAUAUCUUUCGUAAAAGUUCGUCAGAGUAUGAAAAUGUCGAUACAAUUUGUCAUCAAUAACUUAAAUUUCAAGAUUUUCGCGCAUAAAAUUAUGACGCGCGCUGUGUGUGCGGCGGCGUAAUUCGCUACUCGUAUAGCCGUCUCGCUUCUUCUUGUGUGUGCUUUACCGUUGCUGACCGCUUCAAGAACAUUGCUGCUCACACACACGUCAGUCUGUGGCAAACAAUUGGAGGGGGAGGAUGUGUCGGUUUGCUCCAGAAAUCGUGUGUGAUUUUGGUGUUCUGGAUUUGGUUCCAUCGCUGUUUGUUUUGAUGAAUUUGAAAAGGUAAGACUCAUAGACCGAUGUAAAAGUGUGAGAGUAAAGUGAUGUUGAUGGUGACUGAUGCUUUUAUUUGUUUCUUUUCCUGCUUUCAUCCACUGAUGGUGUCGAGCAUCGCCGAGGAUGUGAUCGAAUGCGGAAUAUUCGAAACGAGGAGAUUCAUUCCGGAUUUUGUUUGCAAUAAGCGCUGAACUAAUCCUCCAGCUUACAGGACGGCAAAGGUACACGCACAAACGUGCACACAUCAGCCUUCUCGAAGAACGAGAACACGGGAGGGGGAGACCGGCAACGUAUAGAACCUUUACGCUCCCUCGUGCGUUCGUGCGUGCGUGCGCGCGCGCGUCUAUGUGUGUGUAUGUGUGUGCAUGCCUGCGUGCGUGGCUGUGUGUGUUUUUGCCGCUUCGCAUAACGAGAUCCUACGGGAUCACCUUGCGAAAAACACCAAGAGAGGGGGAGGGGUAGGUGUGUGUGUAUGUGUGUGUGUGCUUGCAUGCGUGCGUGGCUGUGUAUGUGUGUGUAUGUGUGCUUGCAUGCGUGCAUGGCUGUGUAUGUGUGUGUAUGUGUGCUUGCAUACGUGCAUGGCUGUGUAUGUGUGUGUAUGUGUGCUUUUGCUGUUUGGCGAUCUCCUACGGAAUCACCUUGCGAAAACACGUGGGGGGGGGAGGAGUGAGGUAUGUGUGUGCUUGCCUGCGUGCUUUGUGUGUGUGUUUUUGCGUUCACGUUCUACGGGAUCACUUUGCGAAAAACACCAAGGGGAGGAGGAGGUGUUAGUGUGUGUGUAUGUGUGUGUGUGUGUGUGUGUGUGUGUAUGUUUUUUUUUUCUUUGCCGAUUCGCACUCUCUCGCGGAUCUAGUUGUGUGCGUUAGUUUUUUUUUAGUUUCUUCGAAAAAUACCUGGGGGAGGAUGUGUGUAUGAAAGAAUGUACUUCAGAAAAGAAAGUGAAAAUAAAAAAAACGAAUAUGAAAUAUGUUAAACGAAGUUUUAAGUGUGUCUGAACUCAUUGCAAUCCGAAAGAAAGCGAGGGGGGCUCUUAAAAUGUAGUACACAUGUAUGCAACAUGUAUCGUGUCGCCGCGACGGUGUAUCUCGCUCAAUCCGUUAAGCCUGAAAAGUGCUUCUAUCGGAUCGUCUAAUCGGGCGCCACCCAACCGACAUUAUCGCGCGACAUUUUAAAAUUUUGUAUGAGAAAAAAUGGGCUCAAAACGUUCUCAAAUCGUGCUCAUUAGCAGCACUAAAGAGCACGUUUCUGCAACCGUGCGACAGCGUGUAUCAUACAUGUAGUUUCUGUAUGCUACAUUAUUGUACAAUUUCUUUAUUCUCUCCUUUCUCCCAAAACAAACUCAGACUCUCUCUCAUUUUCCAUUCCACACAUUCGCUCUUUAUUUUUACCUCUUUACUCGCACAUACACUUUUAAAUACUCACACAAUUCACACUGCCGAAAAUCGGUGCGGGAUACACACGUACCCGUCUUGCCUGCCUUCUCUCCUCGUUCUUCCUUUCCUCCAGCUUUGCCUUCGUCGAAUGGUGUGUACGCGUCCUGCUUGCUUCCCUCUUGCUGCUCCCACGUGCUGCACUAGCGAGCUGGAUGUUCGUCUCUACCUUCCUGCCGCUUCUCCUCUACCAGGCGCUAGCACGUUGGAGGAUCGAAUCGUUCCUGCCUUCUUUCCUCUCCUGUUCUGUUUUCGGCACUCCUAGGGAUAGAAGGAAAUAUUAACUAUUUUGCCAACAGCUGUUCAAUUUAACGUCAAGCACAAU